Molecule: ribosomal RNA, 301 nt
Filed under: uncultured bacterium
Lineage: Bacteria
Description: partial 16S ribosomal RNA
Rfam family: Bacterial small subunit ribosomal RNA
Source: RNAcentral
CAGCAGCCACGGUAAUACGAAGGGGGCUAGCGUUGCUCGGAAUUACUGGGCGUAAAGGGCGCGUAGGCGGACAGUUCAGUCGGGGGUGAAAGCCCGGGGCUCAACCUCGGAAUUGCCUUCGAUACUGGCUGUCUUGAGUAUGAGAGAGGUGUGUGGAACUCCGAGUGUAGAGGUGAAAUUCGUAGAUAUUCGGAAGAACACCAGUGGCGAAGGCGACACACUGGCUCAUUACUGACGCUGAGGCGCGAAAGCGUGGGGAGCGAACAGGAUUAGAUACCCGCGUAGUCCCUGUCUCUUAUAC